GGCGGGGUAGCUCAGCUGGUUAGAGCGUACGACUCAUAAUCGUAAGGUCAAGAGUUCGAGUCUCUUCCUCGCUACAA
RNAcentral lists this transfer RNA (77 nucleotides) under Bifidobacterium subtile. RNAcentral's name for it is "tRNA-Met". It matches the Rfam family "tRNA". Rfam says of the family: Transfer RNA (tRNA) molecules are approximately 80 nucleotides in length. Their secondary structure includes four short double-helical elements and three loops (D, anti-codon, and T loops). Further hydrogen bonds mediate the characteristic L-shaped molecular structure. tRNAs have two regions of fundamental functional importance: the anti-codon, which is responsible for specific mRNA codon recognition, and the 3' end, to which the tRNAs corresponding amino acid is attached (by aminoacyl-tRNA synthetases). tRNAs cope with the degeneracy of the genetic code in two manners: having more than one tRNA (with a specific anti-codon) for a particular amino acid; and 'wobble' base-pairing, i.e. permitting non-standard base-pairing at the 3rd anti-codon position. The record is from RNAcentral. Lineage: Bacteria; Bacillati; Actinomycetota; Actinomycetes; Bifidobacteriales; Bifidobacteriaceae. RNAcentral also lists the same sequence under 12 other names.